This 253-nucleotide ribosomal RNA is filed under the name uncultured bacterium. RNAcentral describes it as "partial 16S ribosomal RNA". It matches the Rfam family "Bacterial small subunit ribosomal RNA", at positions 524 to 776 of the family's 1533-position model. The record is from RNAcentral.
UACGGAGGGUGCAAGCGUUAUCCGGAUUCACUGGGUUUAAAGGGUGCGUAGGUGGGUUGGUAAGUCAGUGGUGAAAUCUCCGAGCUUAACUUGGAAACUGCCAUUGAUACUACCAGUCUUGAAUAUUGUGGAGGUUAGCGGAAUAUGUCAUGUAGCGGUGAAAUGCUUAGAUAUGACAUAGAACACCAAUUGCGAAGGCAGCUGGCUACACAUAUAUUGACACUGAGGCACGAAAGCGUGGGGAUCAAACAGG